Molecule: long non-coding RNA, 1418 nt
Organism: Onychostoma macrolepis
Lineage: Eukaryota; Metazoa; Chordata; Actinopteri; Cypriniformes; Cyprinidae
Exons: 4
Source: RefSeq, a predicted model, not a curated record
AAGUAAACCAAAGCAAGUUUAAUGUUUAUGCUUGACCAAAAUAAAGUGAGGUGUCACAUUAGUUACAAACGGAAAGAAAGACUUUAUCUUGAAUUGCAAGGCAGAACAUUUAAUCAUACUUACAUGUUUCAUUUACCUUCGUUUUAACUUUAUUUACAUUCAGAGCUACACUGAGGACCAACUCCCUCUUUUUUCAGGUGUCAUAAUUCAACAGAUGUAAACCGUGUCUGGCUGCAUACAGAUGUCGGAGCCGGACUGCUUCUCCCCAGUCAUUUGCCAAAUGUGGACCAGAGUCGGGCAACGGGAGGCUCUCCACGCCGAGGCUACUUCCACAAACAGUGACAAAAAAUUUCAAAAGCACAGAUCUCUGUUCUUACAAGUAGCCGCUCUUCAUGCCAAACACAGGUUGUUACGGCAAAUGAUGUCACUUGAGGCAGUUAAGAAGAAAGGGGGGAUGGUCCCAAGAGGGAGUCCCUUUUUGCUGGACCGCUGAGAGACUUCAAUACCUAUGCGAUCACUAUCACAGUCGCGGUGAAUAUAUCUGCAGACACUGCCAUUAAUUUAGCUGUCAAAGUUUUAAUUAAGCUCCAUAUAAUAUGUAUUAUGUAGGCUAGAAACAGAGAAUACAUGUAAGGUGGGAACCACAUAAAGAUCAUUGAUCAUUCACUCUUUUGUCCAAAAUGCCACUGUAUCCUGUAUGCUUAGCAAUAAAACAAUUUGUUUUUGUUUUUUUUCAUAUAAUUUAUUGGUGACAUUCCUCCAGAUGUUUAGCUUUCAGUGUCAAACAAUGCCGUUUUAAUGCAUUACUCAGCUUACAGUGUUCAAUACAUAUGACAUUUAUCAAAACUAUGCUUCAGAGCUGAUGUCAUUACAUAUAUUUAGACUCAAAUUUGUAUUAAAAAAUAGGAAACUGAAGAGUCUACUCUUACGGGAUUGUUCAAUUGUUCAAAGGUAACAGUGUUAUUCUAACAAUGCAGCUAUUAAGCUCUUCUGAAGAAAAUCUUUGAUAUUUGGAAGUGUAGAAACUAUGUCAUCAAUAACUUAAAAAACAUAUAAACAAAAUAAAUAUGUAUUACAUUAGUAAUAUACAAAGUACUCCUGAUUGCAGUUUAAGAACAGUAGCCUAUCACAUGUAAGUUAAAAAGCAUCUGUUUUAUGUGUAUGGAUCUUUGUUUUCUACUUUAUACUUCGAUAAGGAAAAAGUGCUUGUCUGUACACCACCUAUAAAAGCCGUAGUCCAAUACAUAACACAUCAUUGGCAUUGUCAAGCACUUGUACAACAUCCUAAUUUACGAUUACAAACAUUUACUCUAUGUUAUCUUGCUCACAUAAAAAAGCAAAUGACUGUACAGCUAUGUACAAUAAUUACACGUCUUUCCCUGGUGAAAAAAAGUACACUUUCAUACUUAAAGUGCUCU